UGAUUGCACCGGUUCCUCGACACUUUA
RNAcentral lists this small RNA (27 nucleotides) under Bombyx mori (domestic silkworm). RNAcentral's name for it is "ovarian small RNA-33112". Lineage: Eukaryota; Metazoa; Arthropoda; Insecta; Lepidoptera; Bombycidae. The record is from RNAcentral.